This is a long non-coding RNA of Mesocricetus auratus (golden hamster), 2204 nucleotides long. RefSeq lists it as uncharacterized. The record is from RefSeq and is a predicted model, not a curated record. NCBI's taxonomy places the organism in Eukaryota, Metazoa, Chordata, Mammalia, Rodentia, Cricetidae. The transcript is spliced from 2 exons.
UGACUCGGGAAACAAUGCGAAUGGUGUUGGAGGAACAGCACCCAAGGCUGUGACCUAUGACCUAGACACACAUGCACACAAUGCUUUCCACAUAAGGCCAAAUAAUUUUUUAGAAAUAUGUGUGGGCCGAGUCUCAUGUCCGGAUCAAGUUUACUCAGAAUUACAGUGCUGGUGCUGGCGGGAACAGUGGGGACUGUUGUGAACACAAAGCCGUUUUCCUGGCAACUCUCAUCCUUCUGAACAUCGUCACAACAUCCACCUUGGAGAGGAUCCUGGGGACGUGGGAGGCAUUGGCCACAUCCCCACACACCCUGGCCACUUUCCACGUAACUUCUAGAAACCCACAACAGAAACUGCCUAUGGGCUUUCAAGAUCAGGAAACUCAUUCAACGUCAGAGAAUUCACACUGGAGAAAAGCCCUGGGCUCGUGAAGGUGCAGCCCUACGUGCCGUGGAAGCCGAGUCAGCAGAGCUCUGAGUUUAAGGGUGGUUCCUGAGCAGCCUCCCCCGCAGCCUGGGUGUGGUGAAGAGACACUCCGGGGCCCACUCUUGCUCAGUCACCAAGUGUCCUUCCCCAAGGUCAUUCCUGUGUCCAAGCACAACACCAACUAAUAGUAACGUCUCCUUGCCAGAGGGAAGCAACGCGGGCUCCUGUCACCUCAUGGGUCUUCAGAGCUAACAUGGCCGGGCUGCCUGGUGGGCAGAGUAGGGAGGAAGAGGGAGUGCUAAGAAAUCCCCUUCCUCCCUGGGAGACCUUGGAGGGAAAGACAGAAAAUCAUCUGGAAAGGCGAGCUUCAUCUUCAAAGGCCAAUGGCCAGAGCCAUCUCCCUAUGCCGCGGUGUCCAUAGGGACACACAGGUACCACGGAUCAGACGUGAAUCACCUUCAAAUGUUAAAUCUGUAGGAAAAAAUAAGGUAUAAAUAGAUCGUAGAAGAAGAGAGUAUUUGUAGACAACAAAGUCUCACAGACAUGUGUCAACAUGUAGGGUUUGCAGAGUCACUGGAGGGCUUCCGAGAAGAGGCGGGCUUUGGACAGGUUUGAAAGAUGGGUUGAGAGCCAGGCGUCUGCCUCUUGUAAUUCCAGCAUGCAGUGUGCUGAGGCAGGGGAAUGGCAAGUCUGAGACCAGCCUGGGUUGUAUAGGUGGCCCUGUGCUGUGGUAGCGGAUAGAGGAGGGGAAAUGAGCCCCAUUCCUCCACGGGCUCCGGCUCUGAGCUUCUGCCCUGGCCUUCAUGAUGGACUGAACCCGUAGGGCUGCCUUUGGUCACGGCAUUUACGACAGCCACAGAACACAAACUCAGACAAAGCCUGGCCCUCACUCUGGGCCAUGCUCUGCCCAGAGAUUUGGAUGGGAUUCAGCAGCUAACGAACACAUUUGCGUGGCAGAGAGAAUCUUUGAAUGCUAUGAAUAAGGGGAAAUUGUCAUCCAAUCCAUAAUUCUCACUGGAGAGACUCCCGAUGAAUACAGGGCGGGGGGAGCUCCUCAGAUGGAGGCCGGCAGCCAUAGAGAGGAGAAAAUCACAGGGCGCGGGUACAGCGCCCAAAUAGGCUCGAACCCACGUCAGAGCUCAUCACUGGGAGAGCAUCACAAGAGACAGCACACAUCCUCCACGUGAGCCCCAAGGGGGCCGCAGCAGCGGAGGCGUCAGAUGAGCCAUUUGGAGUGAAAGCCUUUGAAAGGAAUGAAUGGGGGUGGUGAUGGUUUGGGGGACCAAUCAAGUCUUAUUCAUCAGCUGAAAAUUCCGGCUGGGAAGAGGGUGGGCGCCUUGUCGUCAGUGACGAAGCUCGGGCGCUCCCAUCUCACAGGACAAGGAUGGAGCCUGGGAGCACUGCAGACCCAAAGUGCUCACACAGGACGAAAACAUGACGGAGGAGACAGAUUUAGAAGGAGGCCCUGAUGGCCCUCCUGCUUUUAUCAGCGGCAGAUGAGACAGAGCCAGGUGUGGCGGUGGGGGCCAGCCACCCCAGCACUGGGAGACUGAGGCCAAAGUAUGCAGAGUUUGAGAGGCUGGUGACGUGACUCAGCGGGUGAAGGCGCUUGCCGUCCAAGCCUGAGUUCAAUCCCUGGGUCCUACCAGGAGGAGAGAGAGCUGACUUCAACACAAAGUCUUCUAACCUCCACACCCUCGCCGUGGGAUGUGCCCGCCCCCACAUAAUUAACUGUAAUAAAAAAUUAGUAUAUAAAUAAAUAAAUACAUAAAUUUCAA